GACGAACGCUGGCGGCGUGCUUAACACAUGCAAGUCGAACGGAAAGGCCCGGCUUUUGUGGGGUUCUCGUGUGGCGAACAGGUGAGUAACACGUGAGUAACCUGCCCUUGUCUUUGGGAUAACUUCAGGAAACUGGGGCGAAUACCGGAUAGGAGCUCCUGCUGCAUGGUGGUGGUUGGAAAGUUUCGGCUGUUGUGGCUGGACUCGCGGCUUAUCAGCUUGAUGGUGAGGUAGGUGCUGACCAAGGCUUUGACGGGUAGCCGGCCUGAGAGGGUUACCGGCCACAAUGGGACUGAGAUACGGAGCAGACUCCUACGGGAGGCAGCAGUGGGGAACCUUGCACAACGAGGGGAAGCGUGUUGCAGAAAUGUUCCGUGCGGGAUGACGGGCUUCGAGUUGUAAACAGAUUUCGAAUGUGACGAAGAGUGAGUGACGGUAAUGAGUCAAGAAGCACCGGCUAACUACGUG
This 468-nucleotide ribosomal RNA is filed under the name uncultured bacterium. RNAcentral describes it as "partial 16S ribosomal RNA". It matches the Rfam family "Bacterial small subunit ribosomal RNA", at positions 28 to 507 of the family's 1533-position model. The record is from RNAcentral.